This is a long non-coding RNA of Erigeron canadensis, 1769 nucleotides long. RefSeq lists it as uncharacterized. The transcript is spliced from 5 exons. Lineage: Eukaryota; Viridiplantae; Streptophyta; Magnoliopsida; Asterales; Asteraceae. The record is from RefSeq and is a predicted model, not a curated record.
UGUCCAUUUUCCUGCCAUACAUUUCUAGAAAGCCUUACGUCAUCAUCCUACCCCAAAAAUGUUUCACAACCUAAAUCCUCUUCCCCUUAAAAAAAAAAACCUCUCGCGCCCGGAAAAAAAAAAAUCAAAAAAAAAAAAAAACCCGCAACACGUUCAGACCAGGAACCAAUCUUCCGUAAUACAAUCAAGCAAAAAAUCCAAACAGAGAGGUUAUCAAACCCUAAAAAAUUAAUUCGAUUCUUAUUACAUUUUUGUCUUCAACCUAAAAAAUCAAAUCGACACAUUUGGGGGAUUCUGCUUAUAUUUUCUAUUUUAAUUCUCUUUUGAGAAUCUGCAAAGUUGGGAUUUCAUAGGUCAUGAGGGCUACUCUGAUUUAUAGUCAAGUGAUUUCAUUUUGAAAGUUUUCUCAGCAAAAGUGGUCAAUCUUGACAUUGUUAUAUGGAUUUUAUAAAGGAUCCUGGAUGCAAGUUUUCAAAGUGAUUAUUGCUAUGUGAUGAAUCUGAUAGUUUAAUGGUCAUCGCUAGGUUUUCAUAGUUGUGAUAUUGUGACAUUCUGGACUCUUGGUCGUUAAGUCUUUGUGAAUUAUAAUAGCAUCUAUUUGGUUUUUGUUGGCAAUAUAGGGUCAAGCUUCCAUCUGGUGCCAAGAAAAUCGUACCAAGUGGUUGUCGUGCUAUGAUUGGUCAGGUUGCAGGAGGUGGACGUAUUGAGAAGCCUAUGCUCAAGGCUGGUAAUGCUUAUCACUAGUUCCGUGAAAGAGAAACUGUUGGCCCAAGGUUCGUGGUGUUGCUAUGAAUCCAGUGGACCAUCCCCAUGUAACCAUCAACAUAGAUAAGAAGUCGUAACCUGGAUAGAGUGCGUAAGCUCAAGAGUGCAAUGACAAGAUUGACCAACCGGGUUCACACAGUACGAGAUGAACUUGAACAACUACUGGACGACGACGAUGACAUGGCAGACCUCUAUUUAUCAAGAAAAACAUCUUUUGCUUCUUCCUCGAGCAGUGAUGGUGGAGAUGUAACCUUGUCACCAACCUCUCCUACUAUAGAGUCAAAGAUAUCCAGAGCAAGCAGGGCACCACCAUAUUCCGCUCAAAGGGAAAACGACGUUGAGGAACUAGAAAUGUUGCUUCAGGACCAUAAAUAAAAGCCAAGGACAGUCAUUAGCUCAAGUGGGAUUGUUUUUACAACGUCCGGUUUUCACGCAUGGUCAACUAUAUGUCGCACUUUCAAGGGUUACGACCAAAUCUGGUUUGAAGGUCCUUAUUGUCGAUAAAGGUGGAAAAAAUUCAAGCAAAACAACCAAUGUCGUCUAUAAAGAAGUGCUAUAAAAGAUUUGACAUUUUCACAAAAUCAAGGCCGAACUAUGGUGGGUGACUUUAGAUAAACGACUAUGGUGGGUGACUUUAGAGAAACGACUGAAACCUAGGUAUGAAGUUUAUAAAAUCUUGAAAGAGAAGAAGUUGGUUAAAGAUAUACCGGCGCUUUAUACAAUUGUACAAUAUCCUGAGUCAAAGUUUAUCCGUUUCUUGAAGAAGUUUGAGAGUAAGGUGCCGAAUUUAUGUGAAACAUAUGUCAACGGUAUUCGGAUGUUGAAAGCCAAAUGAUAUACAUACAUUUUUAUAAGCUCUCGUGAACCCCGUUUUGGGUGAUCAGGCUUUUUUAGUUAGAUUUACAGUCAAGAAUCGUAUCAACUAUUUAUUACCUAAGGAUCCUAUUAAGAAGUAAUGGAAGAGUUUUGUAGAACCAUUAACAGAUCAAGAUACUUAUUUUUUA